RNAcentral lists this ribosomal RNA (387 nucleotides) under Triticum aestivum (bread wheat). RNAcentral describes it as "partial small subunit ribosomal RNA". The record is from RNAcentral. Lineage: Eukaryota; Viridiplantae; Streptophyta; Magnoliopsida; Poales; Poaceae.
AUGACGAAGGUAAACUCAUCUGGCUCGAGAGUUGAUGGCGGCGGAGAAAAGAUAGCGGGGGAAGCGGGGGUGACAGCGGAGGUGGAGGCGGCUGAGGUCGAGGGAGGGAGUAAAUCAAGUAGGGAGGAAUCACCAGAUGAGAAGUUGAAGUAUCUGAAUCUCAGGGAAGAAGAAGAGGAAGAUGUGAUCUUGGAGGAAGAUAUGGAGGAACUUGAGAAGGAUGUAGAGUUCAUGGCGCUAGCCCGUGUGCACACCUCGAGAAAAUUCAGUCAUGGGGCCUUCUAUGGAAUGAUGAGAUCAGCAUGGAACCUUGCACAGGAAGUAGAGUUCAGAGCUAUAGAAGAUAACCUGUUCUCGGUACAGAUCGCCUGCUUGGCAGAUUGGGAG